CUGGUGGCGAGCGGCGGACGGGUGAGUAAUGCAUAGGAAUCUGCCCGGUAGUGGGGGAUAACCUGGGGAAACCCAGGCUAAUACCGCAUACGUCCUACGGGAGAAAGCAGGGGCUCUUCGGACCUUGCGCUAUCGGAUGAGCCUAUGUCGGAUUAGCUGGUUGGUGAGGUAAUGGCUCACCAAGGCGACGAUCCGUAGCUGGUCUGAGAGGAUGAUCAGCCACAUCGGGACUGAGACACGGCCCGAACUCCUACGGGAGGCAGCAGUGGGGAAUAUUGGACAAUGGGCGCAAGCCUGAUCCAGCCAUGCCGCGUGUGUGAAGAAGGCCCUCGGGUUGUAAAGCACUUUCAGUGGGGAAGAACGCCUGGUGGUUAAUACCCGUCAGGAAGGACAUCACCCACAGAAGAAGCACCGGCUAACUCCGUGCCAGCAGCCGCGGUAAUACGGAGGGUGCGAGCGUUAAUCGGAAUUACUGGGCGUAAAGCGCGCGUAGGUGGCUUGAUAAGCCGGUUGUGAAAGCCCCGGGCUCAACCUGGGAACGGCAUCCGGAACUGUCAGGCUAGAGUGCAGGAGAGGAAGGUAGAAUUCCCGGUGUAGCGGUGAAAUGCGUAGAGAUCGGGAGGAAUACCAGUGGCGAAGGCGGCCUUCUGGACUGACACUGACACUGAGGUGCGAAAGCGUGGGUAGCAAACAGGAUUAGAUACCCUGGUAGUCCACGCCGUAAACGAUGUCGACUAGCCGUUGGGUCCUUCGCGGACUUUGUGGCGCAGUUAACGCGAUAAGUCGACCGCCUGGGGAGU
RNAcentral lists this ribosomal RNA (800 nucleotides) under uncultured bacterium. RNAcentral describes it as "bacterial SSU rRNA". It matches the Rfam family "Bacterial small subunit ribosomal RNA", at positions 85 to 881 of the family's 1533-position model. The record is from RNAcentral.